This 462-nucleotide ribosomal RNA is filed under the name uncultured bacterium. Its description in RNAcentral is "partial 16S ribosomal RNA". It matches the Rfam family "Bacterial small subunit ribosomal RNA", at positions 28 to 506 of the family's 1533-position model. The record is from RNAcentral.
GACGAACGCUGGCGGCGUGCUUAACACAUGCAAGUCGAACGGUGAACCUCUUCGGAGGGGCUGAGUGGCGAACGGGUGCGUAACACGUGGGCAACCUGACCCGGCCUCUGGGGUAAGUCCAAGAAACUGGGGCUAAUACAGGACGGUAAACGCUUCCCGCAUGGGAGGGGGUGGAAAGGGUUUCCGGCUUGGGAUGGGCCGGCGGCGUAUCAGUAGGUUGGUGGGGUAGUGUCCUACCAAGGAGACGACGGGUAGCCGCCCUGGGAGGGUGACCGGCCGCACGGGCCCUGGGGCGCGGCCAGGAGGGCAACGGGGGGCAGGGGUGGGAAAUAGUUCGCACUGUGCGGAGGCCGGACGCAGCGACGCCGCGUUGGGGAGCACGGCCUUCGGGUAGUAAACCUCUUUCCGCAGUGCCGACGCGCAAGGAACGGAACCUGCAGAAGAAGCACCGCCAACCUAGGG